RNAcentral lists this ribosomal RNA (495 nucleotides) under uncultured Chloroflexota bacterium. RNAcentral's name for it is "bacterial SSU rRNA". It matches the Rfam family "Bacterial small subunit ribosomal RNA", at positions 590 to 1088 of the family's 1533-position model. Lineage: Bacteria; Bacillati; Chloroflexota. The record is from RNAcentral.
GGAAGAAAAAAGUGGGGGGAGGGGAGGUCGUUCAAAACUGCCUGGCUAGAUGGAAACAGAAAGAGGUGGAAUUCCCGGUGUAGUGGUGAAAUGCGUAGAUAUCGGGAGGAACACCAGUGGCGAUCGCGGCCACAUGGGUCGCCCCUGACGCUCAGACGCGAAAGCUAGGGGAGCGAACGGGAUUAGAUACCCCGGUAGUCCUAGCCCUAAACGAUGGGCACUAGGUAGAGGGCGUUCCGAUACCUUCUCUGCCGAAGCUAACGUAAUUAGUGCCCCGCCUGGGGAGUAUAGUCGCAAGGCUGAAACUCAAAGGAAUUGACGGGGGCUCACACAAGCGGUGGAGCAUGUUGUUCAAUUCUAUUCUUUUCAAAGAGCCUUACCUGGAUUUGACAUGCUUGGGACCGCCUAUGAAAGUAGGCUUUCUCUUUGAGAACCCUUGCACAGGUGUUGCAUGGCUGUCCUCAUCUCCUGCCCUGAGAUGUCGGGUUAAAUCCC